RNAcentral lists this long non-coding RNA (1080 nucleotides) under Vulpes vulpes (red fox). RNAcentral's name for it is "lncRNA (ENSVVUG00000001674.1)". Lineage: Eukaryota; Metazoa; Chordata; Mammalia; Carnivora; Canidae. The record is from RNAcentral.
CAUUGUAACAUCUGGUUGUUAGGAUCAGUACCUAAUUUUAUCACUGUCGUCCAUAACCUAGAGCCUAGCAUGGUGCUGGGCUCAUAGUUACUUAAGUAAAACGACCUGAUUUUGCUGGAUCUGUUUCUUCUUGCGCAGCUCUUCAUGCAGCUGACAGGGAUCAUAUCAGAUGUCUGAAGGUGGCAGGUUCUGAGAAUCUGUGUCCAGAUGGCUGCUGAAGCUUCUACUUCAAGGUUCAAGGGCAGCAGUUCUCAGGAGACCCCAACACUUCACAUCUUUGGCAGGAUCUUAUUUUUGGCUCAGAGGAGGUGUGGACUCUGAGCCUCAGAACAGGAGGUGAUAAAGAGCCAAAUGUGAUGCCCAGUGUGCUAGAUAAUUUGGUGGAGUAAGAAUGAAGAUAUCCCAAAACUGGGAUACUUUGGGUGACCAUGAACAAACACUAUGAUGUCUCCCAGCAAGUCCUUGACCUCCAGAGGCUCUGCUUUGACCCAGCCCAGGUGACUUCAAGACAGCCCCUGGGAGUACACUGGUUCUCACCUGGCCCAAGGCGAGUCCCAGGAAUUCAGGCCAAGUGAGUGGAGACUGAGUGACCUGGGGAUGAGACUCAGGGCUCCUGGAUCUGCUGAUCUCCCAUAUCCCUCCCUUCACUUCCUCCAGGCCAAGCACACAAUCCCAGAGGAAGACCUCACCCAGGCUGGUGCAGGACCCUGAGAACAUAGCCCUGACAAGAAACCCUUGAGUGUGGUCAUCUUCAUCCUCAGCAUCUUUGUUGUGUUUUUCUUCUAGUCUGAGUAGAUCCCUGUGAUUGAGCAGGUGGUUGCUUGAGGCUGGGAAGCCAACAUUUAACUGAUACUAAUCCACCCAAAGGGCACCGUAGUUCUGUGUAUUUGUCUCACUCAGAAUCCCUGAUUCUUUUUUUUUUUUUUUUUUUUUUAGUUUUUUUUUUUAAGUAAUCUCUACACCCAACAAAGGGCUGGAACUCACAACCUUGAGAUCAAGAGUCGUGUGCUCUACAGACUGAGCCAGCCAGGGUCCCCCUGAUUCUUCUGAUAAUAAAGAAUGACAUUGCAUGUUGUGUCA